CCAAUACCAGGGGGGUGCAACUCCCAUACAAAGGAAAAGAACAUUCAACUAGCGUCAUCUUUAGGAACCGGCGAGGUCAUUUUUGAAACGUUUUGGCCUUAAUGAACUAAUAAGCUCACUAGAUGGCAGAUACGAGUUCUGACUCAAUAAAAAAGGUUAGCGUACUUUGAAGCAGUGCUUCCACUUUUAGGGAAUUCUCCCUUUUUUAGGGAAAAAUAGCUGAUAUUUUGGAUGAUAAAGACAAUUUAAAAAAUACCAGGAUUUAGGAUAUUUCGGGGUAAAAAGCAAAGCCUAUACUAGUAACUGUUGUGAAUUUUAAAAUAAACGAUAAUUAAAGUAAAACAAUGAACCUUUUACUUUAUGGAGAGAGAAUGACAUUAAGUCGAGUUGACAAGUAAAAGAAUAAAACAGAGUUGUGUAUAAAAACUAUAAAGAAGGUUUGAUUCAACAGUAACCGCUAGUAAAGUAAAUCAUAGAUUAAGCCACUGCUUUUUUCUUAGGGAUUCCCCAGAAUCCCAAUAAGUAUAAUCCGCCAAACUUUUAUUUACCUAUUUUCGUUGAUGUCACCAGAACUUACUUGUAUUGUAAUAUACAGGUACUUCAUGUACCAUGAAAGAUUAUCAUGGUAAUUUCAUUUACGAAAACCUUGUAAUUGUCAUUUCACUUUUGCUAGCAGUUCCUUCUUCAAAGACUGAGGUGGAAAGAUUAUUCAGUGUUCUCAAAUGUAAAAACUGACAAAAGAAACAGGCUUUCUAAUGAAACCCUGAACGGCUUGCUUCAUAGAAAGUUCCCAACUUUGCCAGCAAACAAUUGCUCAAUUUUAGAACCGAACAGUGUUAGGUUGCGUGCAGCAAAAGAAUAUAAAAGCAAUGCGUCGACUUCCUUGAAAAUUCUAAUCCUAUAGAUCUAUGAUCUUCUGGGGGCGUUUAUAUUAUAUAUACCUACAUUAAAUAAUAUGCUGUGGUUUAUUUUCUGUAUUUUAUUUAUGCUUUCUAUAUAAAGGAUUUAUGAAAGUUGUCUAGGAAAUUUUAGGGAUAAAUUCAAAAGAAACUAGGGUAAAAUGUGUUAAAAAAAACGUAAGUGGAAACACUGCUUUGAAGUUUUCAAAAUUCCAGGGCCGUAAAACAAUCUCAAAAAAAAAAAAAAAGUUUUCAAAAUGUCGUAACGAUUUAAUUUUUUAAAUCGUUUUUUUUUGGUCUUGGUGUGAGUUAUAUUACGUUGUAGUAUUAAUUUAGAGCAUCUUUUAGCUUUAUGAGAAUAUUAGACGAUUAGACAUUGAGAAACUCUGUUUUGAAUUCUCUUUAGACAUAACUUGGUUCCAAUACUUUUUUCUUCGUUAGCGUUUCGUAAGCCUGUGUAACUAUUUUCGUUUCUUACAGAAAGUUUAUUAUUAAAAAUCAGCAUGCCUCGAAGAUCGAAAAUGAAAUGCUAUUUCGGAUGCCUUGAUAACGACAAAGGUUUGAUAAUGACAAAAUUUUAUGGAAAAAUUAUAAGGAGCACUAAAAUGUCUGAAACAUGAAAAGAUUGAUGCACUAUAUUUGAACCAGAACGUGUUAUGUAAUAUAUUAAUUUAAGAGAAACUGAUUCAGCAAGGAAUGUGAACUCACAAGGGAUCUUAAUUUUUUUUAAAUAUGUUUAUAAUUUAUAAAUUAAUAAUUGAAAUAGUUCAUAAGAACUAAAUUGAGGCCAAUUUUGUUUUAAAAUAGGUUGUUUAGUUCUUAUAGUUAUACUAUUACGUUUGAAUAGUUGUAAUUAGUAAGUUAGUAAUAUAUGAAAAUACUGAUAUAAAUUUUUGUAAAUGACCUUUUGUAAAUUCUACGAGAAGAUGAUUUUAAUUAAUGAUCAAAAGUCAACGAUCUUCAAAAGCAUUAUUUGCAAUUAUUUAGAUUAACUGUGGAAUAUAUUUGCUAAGUUGUGUUUUCUGUAUGAGCAGAUAUAAAUGAAAAUGCCCAAACAUGAUUAUGUUUCUUACAUUUUCAUUAUGUGAAAUCAAUAUGCUUGUGACUGAGUAUAUUAAUAAUUUAUUAAAACUUAAGUGAUAGACAGCAACCCCUAUGACACUGCUGAAGUUUAUAAGCACUGGUGACCACUUAUCAUGAGCCGGGUUGUGUGCUCGUCUGCUGUUGAGUGCAAUAAAAAUUUUCGAGACCCUUUCUAUUAUUUAGAUGUAAUAUUAAUGUACAUCUAAUUUGGAUUAAAAGAUAAAUUUACAUUUUAUGUUUGCAUGUGUAUGUUUAUAAUUCAUUUGCAUGUAACGAACAUCAGUUUCUUUUGUAACAAAAUGCAAACUAAUGGUUUGUAAUGAAUGUAAUUAACUUUAAGAUGAUUUUCUUUCAAUCUGCUGUUUGUUUCAUCUAGUAUUACCAAAGCUAAAGCAUCAGAAACGUCAGAAUAGAAAUAAUUUAGAUAGGGAAUAAAAGUAUAACUAUUGUAAUCAUGUCUAAGAUUACUAUAAGUGUCAUUAAGUACAAACUAUCAAUAUUUAAGAGUACUUUAAAUCAUCAUUACAUUUUUUAAACAUUUUUUGUUUUUUUUUUGUUUUUCAAAUCAUGUAACAAAACGUUAGUGCAGAACAAAAUGUCACAUGUUAUGAACAUGAUUGUGGGUUAAUCGUUUCUUAAAUUUCUAAAUGUUUAUAAGAAUGCUAAGAAUAAUUUAGUAUUCAAAUUAGUGUGUGUAUUAUCUCUACAAUGCUAGUUUAAAUGACAAUUAUUGUAUGACGAAGCAUAGGUAGUAUUUAUAGAUGUAAUAUUUUCAUACAAGGUCAUGAUCUGUCACGAUCAACUUUAAGCAAGAACUGCUAUCAUUAAGAAACAAAUUUAUUAAAUUUAAUUCAAAUUGUCUACUAUGUUUAUAAUGGAAAGCUGACAUGUUUAUAUUUCGCACAAAUGACUUAAUUGACAUUGAAUGAUUUGAUUAUCUAGACUUAAUUAACUUUUAGAUAACUUUCGAUUUAAUGUUAAUAAGUACGCUAGUAGGAUUAAUCUAGAGGAGUUAUUGUUAUUCGAAGUUUUAUACAAUUGUACGUUCAUACAAUCUUUUAACCGAAAAUUGUUUGUAAUAUAGGGAAAUUAAAUAGCUUACAGAGAA
Molecule: long non-coding RNA, 3090 nt
Organism: Bombyx mori (domestic silkworm)
Lineage: Eukaryota; Metazoa; Arthropoda; Insecta; Lepidoptera; Bombycidae
Exons: 3
Source: RefSeq, a predicted model, not a curated record